GCGAUUCAUUCCAGCAAUUCUUAUCCCACAAAUGAGCCUCAUAUCUCCCCGUCCAUCGAUGCCUAGGGUUUACAGAAGCGCAAUCGAAGUCAGAAUCAAUCGACAGAGACAGAGAGAGACGAAGAAGAAGAAGAAGAAGAAGAAGCUCGUAGAGAAGCAAGCAAGGGCGAUGAAUAAAACCUAGUAACGCCGCGGUAAAUGGAGCUUCGUUGAGGAGGCGAAUCUCUCGUUGUUGCGAUGUGGAUUUCGCCAUUGUGAAAUUUCCAAGAAGUUUAAAAUUGACGAUAAAAGUUAUGAAGGAAGGAGAUAGGUUAUAUAAUCUCGAGAUCGGAGGCGAUGAUGAGUGGAGUUAGGGCUGGCGUUCAAUUGAAUAUAGAGCUAGCUGUAAGGUAACCGGCCAUGGACCUUAUCUUUUUCUUCUUAUUUUGCUAAUGCUUCAUCAAUCGGUUUUUUAGUGGAUGGCUUCUUCUACCUUGUCUUUAACCUUCCAUUUUAGAAGUGUUUGUGGUAAAAUUGGAGCCGGCCAUGACGGUUGUUCUUUCUCCAUUUCUGCCGUCUUUCAUCGGUUUCAUUGCCUGGAAUCUUCCCUCUUCCGCUAUCACUUUCUACCGCUCUUCCAAACAACGAGAUUUUAUAUUGUUUUCUUCCACACCAAAUGACGGAAUAAUUUCACUUUUACUAAUUUGAUUGCUA
Long non-coding RNA from Cucurbita pepo subsp. pepo (vegetable marrow), 693 nucleotides. RefSeq lists it as uncharacterized. The record is from RefSeq and is a predicted model, not a curated record. NCBI's taxonomy places the organism in Eukaryota, Viridiplantae, Streptophyta, Magnoliopsida, Cucurbitales, Cucurbitaceae.